GGCAUUUGAAAGCUUUAAAUGGCUUAGGCAGCUUUGCAGUUGUGUGGCAAAUGGGUGCAUUUGCAUUUAUGGAUUCAAAUAUGCAACCUGGUCUGAACAUAGUCUAAAGUAUCCUACAUAAUCCAUUUAGGUAUUUCUGUCACACUGCAGUUUCUUAAAGCAACAAGUUUGGGUACAGUCUUCAUUUUUUCAGUUAUAUUUUGAAGUAAUAUUAUUUUGAUGCAUUCUCAAAGCUUUCCUAGAUAGACUUUGAUAAGUUUGAAUUUUGAACUUGGAUAAUUGAACAUCCUGUGUGUAGAAGCUCUGUAGGCUAUGUAGUUGAAGGGCUGAGGAGGAGAAAGAAAUCCUUCAUUGCAAGGUCAUGGUGGUUCAGCUGCUUGCAAUUUACUGGCAGCUGAAGGCUGUUGAGUGGUAAAUGUGGCAGAAAGGGCAUAUGUCCACACUGCCAGCACCAUCAGCAUGGCACACGGGUAUUUCUAUGGUAAUAGGAGUUGAUGAAGAGAUGUGAAAGAGGAAAAGAUUAAAACACAUAUACAAAUACUUAUACAAAAUUAGUAUACUUAUACAAAAUAAGUAUUCUUUCUCUUAUAGCAAAUUCUUUUACGUUAGUAGAUAUGUCCUGUCUGUCAUUUAUUCUGUUUCAGUCCUGGUCUUUAUGCGUCUGGCAUCCUUCGAAACCCUGCAAGGAUGUUCUAUUGCAGAGAAACAAAGACUGCAAUCUUGAGCAUCUACUUUGAAGGCACCCCAGAAGCAUACCAACUUAAUGUAGCCAGGAUCUGCAUUACUAUCCCUAAGAAGACUUAAAUCUUCGGAAUUUAGAAGAAAAACUCUAUUCUGUGCAGCAUGAUAAACUUGUAGGGAAACAGAAGACAAAGUCCUGCCUGAUCUAAGGUUGUGGAAAGCUUUCAACUCACAAGAGAAGGUAAGUUCAAUCCAAAUAGAAAGUGGAGCAAUUUUUUUGAUGGUAUUAAUGAAAUUCAGUAAUUUCCAAGUUGUGUGAAGUAAAAUACUACUAUAAUCAAAAAUUGCUUUCUAAAUU
RNAcentral lists this long non-coding RNA (1039 nucleotides) under Phasianus colchicus (ring-necked pheasant). RNAcentral describes it as "lncRNA (ENSPCLG00000020801.1)". Lineage: Eukaryota; Metazoa; Chordata; Aves; Galliformes; Phasianidae. The record is from RNAcentral.